GAAUAAUCAUACAGACAAACCAUGGGUCACAACAGGGGGCUGACAGUUGGCUUGGUAUAUCAGUCGCCACGCCUCUCAACCAACUAUGGCUGCUACCACGCCCACAUGAAACCAAAACACAUGAAACAAAAACACAAAUCUAUCUCUCUCUCUCUCUCAUAUGAAUAUGAAUAUAUAUAUAUAUAUAUAUAUAUAUAUAUAUACAUAUAUAUAUAGAUAGAUAGAUAUAAUGAAAACAAUGUGUUUUCCUAACCUCUAGCUGCGAACUGAAUUUUAAGCAGACACUUCCACAAUUCCUCCAACAUGGGUGAACAAUAGACAGACACUCAUUUGGGGAGUAAUAAAUAAUGUGAUUACAGUGAGUACAUUUUCCCAACAAUCUUAUCUCCAAGUUUGCAAGAAUGUUGAUAACUGUUGAGUCCCCCAAAUAAAUAUAAAGUGUGUUUUUUUAUUCAUUUUUAUUGAGGACUUCACAGAUUAAAAAGUCCCUCCACAGUAAAUCCCAGCUGUGUCCUUGGAGCUGGACCACUUCAGCUCACUCUAACAGAGACACCUGCUACUGAACAUAGAACAUGUUUCUGUCGGUACGUUUUCUCAUUUAUAAAUGUCAACUUGCUGUUUAAAGUGUUAUGAUUGUGCAGAUAAAAUGUUAAUGCCCUGACAGUGGCAAACAGCUUUGGUUCAGUUCUGAUUUGAUUUGAUUAUAUUGAUGUUAAAAUUGAGAUUUACAAGAAAUGGGAAUGCUGUCGUUAAAAAACAUCAAUAUGUUGAAAUUGUCUGCAAAUUUUGUGCAUAGCAGUGCACAAAGAAAAAUGUACUAGAAACUACAAAAAAUGUAUUAAUUCAUCCGAGCAAUUUCUCGAAUGCAAGUCAUGUUAAUUAUCUUGUGAGAUACCUACAAUGUUGUGAAAAAUAAAUGGUAUGGAAACCAUUUUUUAAUGAUUUUUUGUUACCUUUUCGGUUUAUCAAUAGCAUGGACAGAGAAGACAGGCAACACAGUUGCCAUGGUUACCACGGUUCUUAAAUCCGAGUUGCCUUGGGUCUUACAUUUUUACACUGUUACAUUACAUCUUACAAGUUUCACGUUUUUAUUUUUCACUCAAGGAAAGUGAUUGGUGUGUUUUGUAAAAUGCAGUCUGCAGAACCUCCUGCCUUUACUGCUGAACACAGCGCUGUUUAUUUUAAAGUCUGUCCCUUUUGAACCGGUUCUGUGUCUAAAUUGUACCAACACCAACCAAAGCAAUGCCUUGGGUCUCCAGCAAUAGCCUUCUGGUGAGAAUCAGAUGAACCGUUCGCGACUUGUGAGCACACUGACAGAUUAAUACAUUACACUUUCUCAUUGUAAAGUUGACGUGCACCUCAAUUCCUUGUUGUGCCCCAGUUAACAUAGUUAGCUUCAAGGUGUAUUUUGCCCUGACUUAAGCCUUUUAGUUUCUCCUUGGGGAGGGAAAUGAAGCGUGAAUUCAGACAGGAAAACCAUCCCCUCACGCUAGGCUUGACAUCUCGCUCAUACCGCUGCCACACCAGCAGCACAUGUUCUACAGUAUACGGCUGUCACCACCCAUCAGUUGGGCGCUCCCAGCCAAUAUGGGCAAAGUCACACCAUCACCUGCUGCCGUCUCCUUUAAAUGUGCUGUACCCCCGCCACCAG
This is a long non-coding RNA of Gasterosteus aculeatus aculeatus (three-spined stickleback), 1651 nucleotides long. Lineage: Eukaryota; Metazoa; Chordata; Actinopteri; Perciformes; Gasterosteidae. The record is from Ensembl.